This 207-nucleotide ribosomal RNA is filed under the name uncultured bacterium. RNAcentral's name for it is "partial 16S ribosomal RNA". It matches the Rfam family "Bacterial small subunit ribosomal RNA", at positions 568 to 774 of the family's 1533-position model. The record is from RNAcentral.
AGCGCAGGUGGUUGUAUAAGUCUGAAGUAAAAAGGCAGUGGCUCAACCAUUGUGUGCUUUGGAAACUGUACAACUUGAGUGCAGAAGGGGAGAGUGGAAUUCCAUGUGUAGCGGUGAAAUGCGUAGAUAUAUGGAGGAACACCGGUGGCGAAAGCGGCUCUCUGGUCUGUAACUGACACUGAGGCUGAAAGCGUGGGGGAGCAAACA